CAAAAUAUAUGCAAGUAUCAAGACAUCAUGUUUAAACCAUAAAUAUAUAUAAUUUUUAUUUGUCACUUCAGCCUUAACAAAGCUGGAGGAAAAUAUUUACAUGUCAGCAAUAGUUUAUUAGCUGUGACAAAUGUUUGUAUACUUAUAUAAUAAGUUAAUAAUAGGGGAACUGGAUAUGGGGUUUAUAGAACCCUCAAUAUAAUCUUUGCAACUUCAUAAAUUUAAAAUGAUCCUAAAAUUAGGCUUAUUUUUAAAAAAGAAUAUGACAAGGAAAAGAGUCUAUAGUUCAAGUUUAAUUUUCAUCUUGCUAAGAGCCUUGCUAAGUAAAUAAAAUAGCUGUUGGUGUUCUGGGCUGAUUGUGGUGUAAAGUGGGGCAAUUCUUCCUCACUGUCUUCUUAUAAAGCCGUGAGAGUUUGUUUGCAGAAUCAGAGAAUGCAGGAUUUCUAAAUGUCCUCCUGUGGAAUUUCCUACUGGCAUGACUUUUUCCCCCCUUUGCUUUUUUGCCCAGUAGCAGUCCCUUGAGUGGCAUUUGCUGUCCUAGUUAAUCAGAGGAUAGGAGAAAUGAAAAACUCUCCUCUUCCCCCUCCCAUGAAGUUUCAAUGGGCACUGCAAAUGUAGGUCAAAUUGCAUCACUGUAGAGAGGAGCGAACAGGAAGGUAUUUAGGAAGUGCUGCCAACCUCACUUUAGAUUCAGUGGCAAUGAACCGGUGUUGAGCCCGCUUAGGUGUGAGAUUCAGGAUCAGAGGAUCAUGUUUGUGAUAUAGUCCCGGAAUGUUACGUUUCAAUCCAUGACAAAAAGGUCUCUGUCUAAAACCCUAGUAAAAAUAACUUAAACUGGCUUUGUUAGAUGUGCAACUACCAGCUUCUGGAAUUCUUUUUGUCUCUUAUUUAUUAUUGACAUACUACAGCAAUUUAUAUUAAUUUAGCCAGAGAGAUGCUUGAAUUAUAGAAACUAUUGCCAUGUAUAUGUAUACAAAAUCUACUGUUUGGUAAUCACAUAAGUCUAAUAAUGUAUUUUGCAAAUUACGUAUUAUCAUAUGCUCAGUGACAUCUUGAUUAGCAUACAGAAACCACAAAUUAUGUUUUUUUAAAUCAUGUUUAAAGUAUGCUUUCUUAUAGACUUUAAAGAUGUAAGAAGUCUUUAAAUUCAUGUCUUUAUUUUUCACAUACUGUAUGCUCCCUGCUCCUUUGUAAGACAUCCAGAUAUUGACUGCUAGAAUGUUCCAUGUUACUGACCUUGUCAGGAAGAGUAAGC
Molecule: long non-coding RNA, 1255 nt
Filed under: Marmota monax (woodchuck)
Lineage: Eukaryota; Metazoa; Chordata; Mammalia; Rodentia; Sciuridae
Source: RNAcentral